AUGGUAUGUACUGGCUUUACUGAUUCCUCCUUCUUGAAGAACUGUAAUGUCAUUAAUUUGGUGUUGCAGGGAAACAGGACUGUUACUUUGAAAAAAUUAGAGUGUUUAAAGCAAGCUAACGCUUGAAUACAUUAGCAUGGAAUAAUGAAAUAGGACGUUCGAUCCUAUUUUGUUGGUUUCUAGGAUUGACGUAAUGAUUAAUAGGGAUAGUUGGGGGCAUUAGUAUUCAAUUGUCAGAGGUGAAAUUCUUGGAUUUAUUGAAGACUGACUACUGCGAAAGCAUUUGCCAAGGAUGUUUUCAUUAAUCAAGAACGAAAGUUAGGGGAUCGAAGACGAUCAGAUACCGUCGUAGUCUUAACCAUAAACUAUGCCGACUAGGGAUCGGAUGAUGUUAAUUUUUUAAUGACUCAUUCGG
This 415-nucleotide ribosomal RNA is filed under the name uncultured Glomeromycotina. RNAcentral's name for it is "SSU rRNA". It matches the Rfam family "Eukaryotic small subunit ribosomal RNA", at positions 670 to 1083 of the family's 1831-position model. Lineage: Eukaryota; Fungi; Glomeromycota. The record is from RNAcentral.